RNAcentral lists this transfer RNA (82 nucleotides) under Ruegeria sp. AD91A. Its description in RNAcentral is "tRNA-Thr". It matches the Rfam family "tRNA", at positions 15 to 71 of the family's 71-position model. Rfam says of the family: Transfer RNA (tRNA) molecules are approximately 80 nucleotides in length. The record is from RNAcentral. Lineage: Bacteria; Pseudomonadati; Pseudomonadota; Alphaproteobacteria; Rhodobacterales; Roseobacteraceae.
GUUGCCUUGUGCCUCUAGCGUCACACAGAGCACUCCCUUGGUAAGGGAGAGGUCGAGAGUUCAAUUCUCUCCAGCAGCACCA